UCCUGUGCCACUCCUGAACCCAUGCCAAUUUCUUCAUGCCUAAUUAGAUUUGGGUUAUGAUUUUUGGCAUCAUGAUAGAGGGUCCAAUAAAAGUGGAUAGCAAUAGCUGAUGAGUCAUAAUAUUAUCUCUUGCCUAAUUCGAAUGCGAUCCAAAUUAGAGAUAAAAGGUAAACUAAGAAAGAGAUUUUUCAUAUAUAGAAUAUUAUUGGCAUCAUAUUAAUUUUUUUUCUUAUUUUUAUUAGAGAAUUCUUUGGUAUGUGAGACUCUAAAAUCCUUCCCC
RNAcentral lists this long non-coding RNA (280 nucleotides) under Elaeis guineensis (African oil palm). RNAcentral describes it as "long non-coding RNA (EGUI_LNC057321)". Lineage: Eukaryota; Viridiplantae; Streptophyta; Magnoliopsida; Arecales; Arecaceae. The record is from RNAcentral.